AUAUAAAUCACACAGGGUUCUUGUUAAAACAAAGGUUCUAAUUCUGUAGAUCUGCUGUGAGAUUUACAGUGCUGCAUUCUAACAAGCUCUUGGGUGAUGUCAGU
This 104-nucleotide microRNA precursor is filed under the name Marmota monax (woodchuck). Lineage: Eukaryota; Metazoa; Chordata; Mammalia; Rodentia; Sciuridae. The record is from RNAcentral.